Molecule: ribosomal RNA, 253 nt
Filed under: uncultured bacterium
Lineage: Bacteria
Description: partial 16S ribosomal RNA
Rfam family: Bacterial small subunit ribosomal RNA
Source: RNAcentral
UACGUAGGGUGCAAGCGUUGUCCGGAAUUAUUGGGCGUAAAGAGCUCGUAGGCGGUCUGUCGCGUCGAAUGUGAAAACCCGGGGCUCAACCCCGGGCCUGCAUUCGAUACGGGCAGACUAGAGUUCGGUAGGGGAGUCUGGAAUUCCUGGUGUAGCGGUGAAAUGCGCAGAUAUCAGGAGGAACACCGGUGGCGAAGGCGGGACUCUGGGCCGAUACUGACGCUGAGGAGCGAAAGCGUGGGGAGCGAACAGG